GCUAAGCUGCCUUCCACUAUUGCUCCUGUGACCCUCACCCUGGGCAGCCUGCUGGAUGACCAGCACUGGCAUUCCGUCCUCAUCGAGCUCCUCCACACGCAGGUCAACUUCACUGUGGACAAACACACUCAUCAUUUCCAAGCAAAGGGAGAUUCCAGUAACUUGGAUCUUAAUUUUGAGAUCAGCUUUGGGGGAAUUCCGACACCCGGAAGAUCGCGGGCAUUCACACGUAAAAGCUUUCAUGGGUGUUUAGAAAAUCUUUAUUAUAAUGGAGUGGAUGUUACCGAAUUAGCCAAGAAACACAAACCACAGAUCCUCAUGAUGGGAAAUGUGUCCUUCUCAUGUCCACAGCCACAGACUGUCCCUGUGACUUUUCUGAGCUCCAGGAGUUAUCUGGCUCU
RNAcentral lists this long non-coding RNA (401 nucleotides) under Homo sapiens (human). RNAcentral's name for it is "non-protein coding lnc-ZNF658-5:3". Lineage: Eukaryota; Metazoa; Chordata; Mammalia; Primates; Hominidae. The record is from RNAcentral.